This 523-nucleotide ribosomal RNA is filed under the name Rheohyla miotympanum (small-eared treefrog). Its description in RNAcentral is "partial large subunit ribosomal RNA". It matches the Rfam family "Bacterial large subunit ribosomal RNA", at positions 1848 to 2572 of the family's 2925-position model. Lineage: Eukaryota; Metazoa; Chordata; Amphibia; Anura; Hylidae. The record is from RNAcentral.
CGAGAUCUAGCCUGCCAGUGAUUCAAUUCAACGGCCGCGGUAUUCUAACCGUGCUAAGGUAGCGUAAUCAUUUGUCCUUUAAAUGCGGACCAGUAUGAAUGGCAUCACGAAGGUUAUACUGUCUCCUUUUUCUAAUCAGUGAAACUAAUCUCCCCGUGAAGAAGCGGGGAUAGCCCUAUAAGACGAGAAGACCCUAUGGAGCUUUAAACUAAGCAACAAAUGCUCUAUUUUAUUAAAUCUUAGAUUUAUUAACAUUUAUUUAGCUUAAUGUCUGCCAGUUUUAGGUUGGGGUGACCGCGGAGUAAAAAAUAACCUCCACAUUGAACAGAGCCUAGCUUCUGAGCCACGAACUACAACUCUAAGCACCAAUUUACUGACAUAAAUUGACCCAAUAUAUUGAUCAACGAACCAAGUUACCCUAGGGAUAACAGCGCAAUCCGCUUCAAGAGCCCCUAUCGACAAGCGGGUUUACGACCUCGAUGUUGGAUCAGGGUGUCCCAGUGGUGUAGCCGCUACUAAAGGU